Zingiber officinale is the source of this 459-nucleotide long non-coding RNA. RefSeq lists it as uncharacterized. NCBI's taxonomy places the organism in Eukaryota, Viridiplantae, Streptophyta, Magnoliopsida, Zingiberales, Zingiberaceae. The transcript is spliced from 3 exons. The record is from RefSeq and is a predicted model, not a curated record.
UCCUCCACUGUGCAGUGCCUAGCCGACUCCUUCCUUUGUCCUAGGUUCCCUCUUGUUGCUGGAUCCGAACCCUAACUCCUCUGGGUUGGGUUGUGGUCAGCCUACCCGACUGCAGCUUCUCCGGAUCUUGGCAGUAAGUUCUAUAGGAUUUGAGCAGUGUUGAGGCAUCAGGGAAUAUGGGUAAGGUUGGUGUUAAGUUAAUUACUGUUGAGGUGAGUAUGGGAAGAUGAACUUGAUGAUUUCGAUGGUUUGAGCUAUUGGUAUUACUUUUGUUAUGUAAGCAUAGGGUUAAUUAUAUUAAAUCCUGUGUAGACCUUAUAUGGUGAUUUCCUUUGCAGACAUUGUUGGAGAAAGCCCUAAUCGCUGCGAUCUUCCUUUUGUGUGAUCCAGAGGACCUUGACGCGAGACAAGUUUCUUAACGUCCGGAUUUGGACUGAUAGGAUCUUUCCUAUUGGAGGU